GAUCAACGCUGGCGUCUUGCCUCCUACAUGCACGUCGAGCGCACAGAUGCGGAGCUUGCUCCUCUUACGUUAGCGGCUGACGUUUUAGUUACACUUGGCUCCCCUCCCUCUACGCCUGGCAUAACUUCGUGAACCCGUCGCUAAUACCGGUUACUAUAUUGAACCACAUUGUUCAAUAUUGAACUACGUUUUUGCUGUCACUUAUAGACGGAUCCGCGCCGCAUUAGCUAGUUGGUAAGGUAACGGCUUACCAAGGCACCGAUGCGUAGCCGACCUGAAAGGGGGAACGGGCACACUGGAACUGAGACACGGGCCAGACUCCUACGGGAGGCAGCAGUAGGGAAUCUGCCGCAAUGGGCGAAAGCCUGACGGAGCAACGCCGCGUGAGUGAUGAAGGUCUUCGGAUCGUAAAACUCUGUUAUUAGGGAAGAACAAAUGUGUAAGUAACUAUGCACGUCUUGACGGUACCUAAUCAGAAAGCCACGGCUAACUACGUG
Molecule: ribosomal RNA, 497 nt
Filed under: uncultured bacterium
Lineage: Bacteria
Description: partial 16S ribosomal RNA
Rfam family: Bacterial small subunit ribosomal RNA
Source: RNAcentral